GCCAACCUUCCCGCCGUUUAACUUCAUAAAACAACGGAAAAAGCACAAACUUAUCAUUGCUGAGAAACUUCUCUGGUUUCUUAACUGCGAUAGGAAGACGAAUUCCGAGGAACUGCCUCCACCUUUAGCAUAUUUUGAUCUCCGUCUUUUCUCGGUGAACAAUGUUCUACGACCAUUUCUUCAACUAUAUUAUCAUAGGCGACGGUUCUAUCUCUCAUGAAUGAUGUAAUAUUGGUGUACUUUGACUUGAGAUCAAGAUCAAUAGAAUGGUGACGUUGGCUACAACUUAAUUACAAGUUAUACUUGAUCUUGAAGACCAAGCCAAGCAACAAGAUGUAGGCCUUAGAGUAGGGCAUGUUGAUUAUAUUCUCAUUCGCUCUGAUUUUUUGUUAAAUCACUGGAUAAAUAUUACUACCUUAGCAUACUACCUAUUAAAGCUUCAAUUUUUAAGUGCGAUGGGAUUUGAGGUGGCUGAAAACAGGAAGUUGUCCUACUCCUUGUGAACUACGCAUAUAUACCCCUCUAUUUUUUUUAAUCUUUCUCGCCUUUUGUUAGUUGUAGAAUUUUAAAUAGUGACAUAAGAAAU
This is a long non-coding RNA of Lycium barbarum (goji berry), 586 nucleotides long. RefSeq lists it as uncharacterized. Lineage: Eukaryota; Viridiplantae; Streptophyta; Magnoliopsida; Solanales; Solanaceae. The transcript has 3 exons. The record is from RefSeq and is a predicted model, not a curated record.